ACUCUAGUCCGACUUUGUGAAAUGACUUGAGAUGUGUAUGAUAAGUGGGAGCUGCCCCCAGUGGCACAAGUGAAAUACCACUACUUUUAACACUAAUUUAGUUAUUCCGUGAGUUGGAGGUGGGGCAUCACCCCUCGUUUUGGCUCCAAGGCUCGCCCUCGGCGGGCUGAUCCGGGUGGAUGACAUUGUCAGGUGGGGAGUUAGGCUGGGGCGGCACAUCUAUUAAAAGAUAACACAGGUGUCCUAAGAUGAGCUCAACAAGAACAUAAAUCUCGUGUGGAACAAAAGGGUAAAACUUCAUUUGAUUCUGAUUUCCAGUACGAAUACGAACCAUUAAAGCGUGGCCUAUCAAUCCUUCAAACCUUCGGGGCCUUCGAAUACUAUUCGGGUCUGAGGU
This 397-nucleotide non-coding RNA is filed under the name Amborella trichopoda. Its description in RNAcentral is "Eukaryotic large subunit ribosomal RNA". It matches the Rfam family "Eukaryotic large subunit ribosomal RNA", at positions 2425 to 2797 of the family's 3401-position model. The record is from Rfam by way of RNAcentral. Lineage: Eukaryota; Viridiplantae; Streptophyta; Magnoliopsida; Amborellales; Amborellaceae.